This 68-nucleotide transfer RNA is filed under the name Neotoma lepida (desert woodrat). It matches the Rfam family "tRNA". From Rfam's summary of the family: Transfer RNA (tRNA) molecules are approximately 80 nucleotides in length. Their secondary structure includes four short double-helical elements and three loops (D, anti-codon, and T loops). Further hydrogen bonds mediate the characteristic L-shaped molecular structure. tRNAs have two regions of fundamental functional importance: the anti-codon, which is responsible for specific mRNA codon recognition, and the 3' end, to which the tRNAs corresponding amino acid is attached (by aminoacyl-tRNA synthetases). tRNAs cope with the degeneracy of the genetic code in two manners: having more than one tRNA (with a specific anti-codon) for a particular amino acid; and 'wobble' base-pairing, i.e. permitting non-standard base-pairing at the 3rd anti-codon position. The record is from Rfam by way of RNAcentral. Lineage: Eukaryota; Metazoa; Chordata; Mammalia; Rodentia; Cricetidae.
GGGAAUUUAGCUCAGUGGUAGAGCGCUUGCCUAGCAAGCACAAGGCCCUGGGUUCGAUCCUCAGCUCU